Molecule: transfer RNA, 71 nt
Filed under: Candidatus Euphemobacter frigidus
Lineage: Bacteria; Pseudomonadati; Candidatus Auribacterota; Candidatus Erginobacteria; Candidatus Erginobacterales; Candidatus Erginobacteraceae
Description: tRNA-Gly
Rfam family: tRNA
About the family: Transfer RNA (tRNA) molecules are approximately 80 nucleotides in length. Their secondary structure includes four short double-helical elements and three loops (D, anti-codon, and T loops).
Source: RNAcentral
GCGGGUGUUGCUCAAUGGUAGAGCUCUAGCUUCCCAAGCUGGCCACGAGGGUUCGAUUCCCUUCACCCGCU